Danionella cerebrum is the source of this 74-nucleotide non-coding RNA. NCBI's taxonomy places the organism in Eukaryota, Metazoa, Chordata, Actinopteri, Cypriniformes, Danionidae. The record is from the annotation of a GenBank genome assembly.
UUUCCUGUUGAUCAGUUGGUAGAGCAUUGCUCAAGCAACGCAAAAAUCGCAGUGGGUUCAAAUCCCCAGGAAAG